CCCGCUCAGAAACUUAAAGGAAGUUGACGGGGGCCCGCACAAGCGGUGGAGUAUGUGGUUUAAUUCGAUGCAACGCGAAGAACCUUACCAGGACUUGACAUCUCUGGAAUCUCCUUGAAAGGGGAGAGUGCCGUAAGGAACCAGAAGACAGGUGCUGCAUGGCUGUCGUCAGCUCGUGUCGUGAGAUGUUGGGUUAAGUCCCGCAACGAGCGCAACCCUCGUCGUUAGUUGCCAUCAUUAAGUUGGGAACUCUAGCGAGACUGCCGGUGGCAAACCGGAGGAAGGUGAGGAUGACGUCAAGUCAGCAUGGCCCUUACGUCCUGGGCGACACACGUACUACAAUGCGAGGGACAGAGAGCAGCCAACCCGCGAGGGAGAGCGAACCUCUUAAACCCUGGCACAGUUCAGAUUGCAGGCUGCAACUCGCCUGCAUGAAGGAGGAAUCGCUAGUAAUCGCAGGUCAGCAUACUGCGGUGAAUCCGUUCCCGGGCCUU
Molecule: ribosomal RNA, 494 nt
Filed under: uncultured Planktothrix sp.
Lineage: Bacteria; Bacillati; Cyanobacteriota; Cyanophyceae; Oscillatoriales; Microcoleaceae
Description: bacterial SSU rRNA
Rfam family: Bacterial small subunit ribosomal RNA
Source: RNAcentral